This 253-nucleotide ribosomal RNA is filed under the name uncultured bacterium. RNAcentral's name for it is "partial 16S ribosomal RNA". It matches the Rfam family "Bacterial small subunit ribosomal RNA", at positions 524 to 776 of the family's 1533-position model. The record is from RNAcentral.
UACGAAGGGGGCUGGCGUUGCUCGGAAUCACUGGGCGUAAAGGGCGCGUAGGCGGCCAUUCAAGUCGGAGGUGAAAGCCCAGGGCUCAACCCUGGAAUUGCCUUCGAUACUGUUUGGCUAGAGACCGGAAGAGGUAAGUGGAACUGCGAGUGUAGAGGUGAAAUUCGUAGAUAUUCGCAAGAACACCAGUGGCGAAGGCGGCUUACUGGUCCGGUUCUGACGCUGAGGCGCGAAAGCGUGGGGAGCAAACAGG